Molecule: ribosomal RNA, 501 nt
Filed under: Aerococcus viridans
Lineage: Bacteria; Bacillati; Bacillota; Bacilli; Lactobacillales; Aerococcaceae
Description: bacterial SSU rRNA
Rfam family: Bacterial small subunit ribosomal RNA
Source: RNAcentral
CUAAUACAUGCGAAGUCGAGCGAACAGAUGAAGUGCUUGCACUUCUGACGUUAGCGGCGAACGGGUGAGUAACACGUAAGGAAUCUACCUAUAAGCGGGGGAUAACAUUCGGAAACGGGUGCUAAUACCGCAUAAUAUCUUCUUCCGCAUGGAAGAAGAUUGAAAGACGGCUCUGCUGUCACUUAUAGAUGACCUUGCGGUGCAUUAGUUAGUUGGUGGGGUAACGGCCUACCAAGACGAUGAUGCAUAGCCGACCUGAGAGGGUGAUCGGCCACAUUGGGACUGAGACACGGCCCAAACUCCUACGGGAGGCAGCAGUAGGGAAUCUUCCGCAAUGGGCGAAAGCCUGACGGAGCAAUGCCGCGUGAGUGAAGAAGGCCUUCGGGUCGUAAAACUCUGUUAUAAGAGAAGAACAAAUUGUAGAGUAACUGCUACAGUCUUGACGGUAUCUUAUCAGAAAGCCACGGCUAACUACGUGCCAGCAGCCGGGGGUAAUACAUA